RNAcentral lists this long non-coding RNA (1164 nucleotides) under Helianthus annuus (common sunflower). RNAcentral describes it as "hypothetical non coding rna". The record is from RNAcentral. Lineage: Eukaryota; Viridiplantae; Streptophyta; Magnoliopsida; Asterales; Asteraceae.
UUCACAUUAGGCCAAGUUUCAUUGCCAAAAAAAUAAUUUUUUCCAUUGCCAAUCCAUCACAAAAAAAAAUAAUUUUUUCUGCUCCUCUCUCUCUCUCUCUCUCUCUCUGGCGAUUCAAGAACACGAUUUCACAAGAUCUAUGAAGUUUGAACAGAUCGAUGAAGAUUCGGACCUCCCAGAUUCGAUUUCCAGCUUUUAUUGGCGUUUUGCAACAUUCGUCAAAGGUCAUGGUUUAAAGACUAGGUAACGGUUUGAGAAGAGUUCAAGAUCGAGCUAUUGUUUUGUAGUAUGAAGGGGAGAAAGUGAGGAGAAAGUUGUGGUUGUCAAAGGCGAAGUAGAAGAAUAUAAAGAGAAUGUGAGGGCGGUUGUCAAAGGAGGUGGUAUAGUGUUUUGUAGAAAUUAGGGUUUGUAUUUUCGUGAUUUUUGCUAAUUAUGUUGAUUUUGAGAUGGUUGCUGAUACACAUUGAUAGUUAGUGUGUAUUGUUGAUUCCAGUUACCUUGAAAUUAUGUUUUGUAGCUGCUGGUUUUGGUUUUCAGUUAGAAGCGGUUGAUUAGUAUAGACAUGUUGAGAAGAUACUAUCUGGAGAUGGAUCUGGAAGGUUGCAGGAUCGAGUGAAGGAAACGCUAAAGGAGUUUAUGUGGGCUACACAGAUGAUACUUUUGUGCCCGGCCAAGAAUUUCAGGUGCUCCUACUAACAACAAAGUCACUGCGGUCCUUGAAAAGGCAAGCUCAACCCGCCAGUCGUGGCAGAGAAGAUAGGUUUUAUAAUCCGGAAAAAGCGAGAAGAAACCAUCAAAAUCAGGAUCAACUCCGAUGAGCACAAAGUGAUGCCACUCCAAACCAAAAUCUAUGACGUUGCCAGGCCCUGGGGAGGCUGAGAACCGAGUUGUGAAGUCAUUUAAAGAGGCAUUAGCAAAACACAAAUUGGAUCGACGCACUUUAGGUCUUUCAAAAUGUCUGAAGGAGAAAGAAUUGGUGGCACUUGCGGCCAACCAGGACCUUUCUUUUGUGUAUAAUUUAAAACCCAAGCACCACCAAAGGAGACUAUGAAUUGUAUAGGUAACUAGUUAAUUGCCCUGCCCGCGUUGCGAGGCGUUAAAUCGAAUAUUUCUUAGUUUCAUAACAUGUACACAUGUAUUUUAGUUACUUGUAUAUACUAUUUA